AUUGAACGCUGGCGGCAGGCCUAACACAUGCAAGUCGGACGGUAGCACAGAGAGCUUGCUCUUGGGUGACGAGUGGCGGACGGGUGAGUAAUGUCUGGGGAUCUGCCCGAUAGAGGGGGAUAACCACUGGAAACGGUGGCUAAUACCGCAUAACGUCGCAAGACCAAAGAGGGGGACCUUCGGGCCUCUCACUAUCGGAUGAACCCAGAUGGGAUUAGCUAGUAGGCGGGGUAAUGGCCCACCUAGGCGAUGAUCCCUAGCUGGUCUGAGAGGAUGACCAGCCACACUGGAACUGAGACACGGUCCAGACUCCUACGGGAGGCAGCAGUGGGGAAUAUUGCACAAUGGGCGCAAGCCUGAUGCAGCCAUGCCGCGUGUAUGAAGAAGGCCUUCGGGUUGUAAAGUACUUUCAGCGGGGAGGAAGGCGGUGCGGUUAAUAACCGUACCGAUUGACGUUACCCGCAGAAGAAGCACCGGCUAAUUCCGUGCCAGCCGCCGCAGUAA
This 504-nucleotide ribosomal RNA is filed under the name uncultured bacterium. Its description in RNAcentral is "partial 16S ribosomal RNA". It matches the Rfam family "Bacterial small subunit ribosomal RNA", at positions 30 to 523 of the family's 1533-position model. The record is from RNAcentral.